RNAcentral lists this small RNA (684 nucleotides) under Pan troglodytes (chimpanzee). RNAcentral describes it as "processed transcript". Lineage: Eukaryota; Metazoa; Chordata; Mammalia; Primates; Hominidae. The record is from RNAcentral.
AUGUGGACAGAGGAAGCCGGGGCGACGGCCGAGGCCCAGGAAUCCGGCAUCGGGAACAAGUCUAGCAGUUCCAGUCAAAUCCCGGUGGUUGGGGUGGUGACGGAGGACGAUGAGGCGCAGGGUGUUUUCAAGGCUAUGGACCUUAAUCGUGUCAUCAAACUCCUCGAAGAGACUGAUAAAGUUGGCUUGGAAGAAAAACAACUUAAAUUUGUCAAGAAACUGGUACAGUGUUAUCAGAAUGGACUUCCAUUAAGGGAUUUAGCACAGAUAUUUAAAAUUCUGAAUCUGUGUUCAGGAAAAAUAAAAAACCAGCCUCGUUUUAUAGAAUCUGCAUAUGAUAUCAUAAAACUCUUGCCAUUUUUGAAAAAGAAAGUGUCGGAUGAAAUAACUUAUGCUGAAGAUACUGCUAAUUCAAUUGCACUUCUGGGUGACUUAAUGAAAAUACCAAGUUCUGAAUUGAGGAUACAAAUUUGUAAGUGUAUUGUUGAUUUUUAUCAUGCAGAACCACCAAAGAAGCAUAUUCCAGGUUACCAGCAAGCGAGUUCAUCAUACAAGAUUCAAAUGGCUGAAGUUGGAGGAUUAGCAAAAACAAUGGUCCAGUCAAUGACCUUGCUUGAAAAUCAACUUGUUGAGAAACUUUGGGUACUUAAAGUUCUGCAGCAUCUCUCAACUUCUGGGCUUUGA